This 42690-nucleotide long non-coding RNA is filed under the name Solanum tuberosum (potato). RNAcentral describes it as "long non-coding RNA (STUB_LNC004039)". Lineage: Eukaryota; Viridiplantae; Streptophyta; Magnoliopsida; Solanales; Solanaceae. The record is from RNAcentral.
UUCACAACGUCAUUUGGGCAUUCGGUAAGGUUAUCAAUAUCAGCUAAGUAUACGCUUCCACCUCCCGGGAGAACACUCAGAAUGGAGUACUCCUCGUUUAUCUUGAGUGGUUCGCCGUCCAUGUCCAGCACGUGAGGGAAUACAAUAUUCCCAUUAUUAUCAGAAAUGGAAAAUUCAUGAGAAAAGGCAACCAAACUUGAAACCAAUAUAUUACUAAUACUCUUCUUCAUCUUUAAUUUGUUUNNNNNNNNNNNNNNNNNNNNNNNNNNNNNNNNNNNNNNNNNNNNNNNNNNNNNNNNNNNNNNNNNNNNNNNNNNNNNNNNNNNNNNNNNNNNNNNNNNNNNNNNNNNNNNNNNNNNNNNNNNNNNNNNNNNNNNNNNNNNNNNNNNNNNNNNNNNNNNNNNNNNNNNNNNNUAAAGUUCCCAGUUUUAUUUUCUCAAUUUUUAUUGUAGUAAAAAAGUUGAGAAAUUAACAUUGUCAAUUUAAUUUUUGUAGUUAAGAAAUUUUAUGAUUUCGUGGAUAGUCAUAAGUUCGAACUUUUGUAGCUAUUGCUAGAUAUUAGCCCUGACUAGCUUUUAAAUUCAUAGCUAAAAUUUAGUAGUAAAGUUCCCAGUUUUAUUUUCUCAAUUUUUAUUGUAGUAAAAAAGUUGAGAAAUUAACAUUGUCAAUUUAAUUUUUGUAGUUAAGAAAUUUUAUGAUUUCGUGGAUAGUCAUAAGUUCGAACUUUUGUAGCUAUUGCUAGAUAUUAGCCCUGACUAGCUUUUAAAUUCAUAGCUAAAAUUUAGUAGUAAAGUUCCCAGUUUUAUUUUCUCAAUUUUUAUUGUAGUAAAAAAGUUGAGAAAUUAACAUUGUCAAUUUAAUUUUUGUAGUUAAGAAAUUUUAUGAUUUCGUGGAUAGUCAUAAGUUCGAACUUUUGUAGCUAUUGCUAGAUAUUAGCCCUGACUAGCUUUUAAAUUCAUAGCUAAAAUUUAGUAGUAAAGUUCCCAGUUUUAUUUUCUCAACUUCAAUUAUAUAGUAAUAAAGUUGAGAAAUAACGGUCACAUUAAUUUUUAUAGCUAAGAAAGUUAAUGAAAUUGUGGAUAGUCAUGAAACUCGAAUUUUUGUAGCUUUUACAAGACCAUCCUUAGAAGUGUUUUUUUAUUAAAUUUGAAAGAACUUAAAAUAAGUUAUUCAAACAUAUUCUAACUUGUAAUAUUUUAAUUUAUGAUGCUUACAAUUAAAUUCUAACUUAUAAUAUUUUAAUUUAUACAUCAUAAGUUAAAGCUAAAUUUUUUGGAAACUGUAAUAUUUUAUUACCAGAUUUGCAAUAUGUACAAAAUUGGAAACUCCGGAUGUGGACAGUUUCCACUCUCAGAGUCCAUCUAAUUCAAAAGAGUUCCUCCUUGCUAGUACUAUUCUAAGGAUAGAAGUUUAGCUUUUGCGUAAAACCUAUAAAAAGUUAAAGCUAAAUUAAAUAGGCUCUUGGUUAACUAUAUACUAGUAAAAGGUGUCCGUGCUAGCACGGGUUCAAUAUCUUAAUAUUUUUUAUUCUAAUAGACUUCUUCAUCUUUGAUCUUUGUUUGUGUGUUUUACUUGCUACGAGUCUAUCUCCAAUUUAUAGACCUGCUAAGGGCAUUUUUGACAAACAAAAAAUGACCUUUUAUUUUAGGUUAUAAUAACCUAAAGAAAAGUAACAUAUUUUUUUUUAAUUUAAAAGUAAGGACUAUAUAUAUACUGUGUUGUAACGUCUAAAUUGGAUCAGACCACCAAUAUGAAUAGUAUUGAGCAAAUUUUAUCUUGAUAUUUUAAUUAUAUAUUCACCGUUCAAUAUAUAUAUAUAUUAACUCCAACCACCAAGGAUACAAGUUUCCUAAAUGGUGGAGGAUUGGACAUAGAUCCCUACCAUGUAUAUUACUAAGCAAUAACACCGUUCAAUAUAGAUAACAGGCUAACAACCACAAAUGAAUAUUAAUGUCCCAGCGAAACCGCACAUGCAUGAGAUUAUCCCAUGACUGAGGGUGUGUUUGGUAGGGAGGAAAAGACCUGUAGGAAUGUUGGUAAAAAAAGGGUGCAGAAAUAAAAUAAAAAAGAUGUUUUGCCAAGAAAAAAAAAUGCGAAUGAAGAACAAACUAAAACUUGAGAAAAUGGAAGAGUGAGAGAAAAAAUGUGACAACGAAAAGGACCCACAAAUACACUUGUCAAAAAGAGAUUGUUCCCACAUACAACUAAUCUUCAUAUUUUAAUUAUAUAUUUAUAUUCACCAUUCAAUACCGACAACAGGCUAACGAUAACCACAAAUAAUGAAUAUUCGGGACCCAUGAGAUUAUCCCAUAACUAAAACGUGUCAAUGAAGUACAAUGACAAAUUUUACUUUAUGUGGGUUUUCUUCAAAAAAAACAAAAAAUCCAUUCUCUUCCGGCCCGUUUGACCAUGCGAUAUGAAAUCAUGAUAUGGUAUCAUAAUAUGGAAUCAUGAGAUGAAAUUGAAGUUUUAUUUGGACAUGCGAUAUGAAAUUUUUGUUUUAUAUAUUUUCUCAUACUCAUAAGAAUCUAUAAGUUGUAAAACUAUUAAAAUAGCCCAAAUUGUUUAUGCAAUCUUAGCAAAUAAACAAAAUUUUAUAAAAUUGCAUAAUAAAUUAUUAUAAAGCUAUUUGUUUCCCACUUAAGUAACUAUUAUAUCACUUUAAUUCAAUUAAAAAAAAUUGAACAUAAAUUGUAGUGAACAAGUCUUUAAUAUAAUCCUCCCACAUAAUACAGACAAUCUCCUCACGUUGAACUUGCAUUUCUCGAUCAUGUGAUCGAGAAGACAAACCAGCAUUGUUACUUUGAGCCAUUUUUUGGUCAAUAUCAUCUCAACUAUAUUUUCAUCAUCAUAGACCAUAAAUAUUUCAUUACUCCUUUUCACAAAUAAUUAUGUAACACUGCACAACCUAUGACAAUUUUCACUUGUGUGUCAAUAUCAUAAUGAUUCAUGCCUUGUUUCAGUAUCUUGAAUCUAUUUUUCAAGCUCCAAAAGUCUGUGGGGUUGUUUUAACAAAAUAUAAACUUGUGAAUCAAUUUUUGUGUUGGUGUCAAUAUCAUAAUGAUUCAUGCCUUGUUUCAGUAUCUUGAAUCUAUUUUUCAAGCUCCAAAAGUCUGUGGGGUUGUUUUAACAAAAUAUAAACUUGUGAAUCAAUUUUUGUGUUGAAAAAAUCUCAAAUCAUGAUAUGGAAUUCCCAUAUAAUUCCAUAUCAUGAUUUUUGGUGAAUAUGGUAUUCCAUCAGCGUAAAAUCGCAUGUCUAAACGUUGAUUCCAUCUCACGAUUUCAUAACGUGAUAUGGUAUCGCAUGGCCAAAUGCCUACUUAUUAAUUGAGAGGGAGUUUGCGUUGCACGAGAUUUGUUUAUGUAUUUUAUAGAAAAAAAGGGUAAAAAAUAUCCUUUAAUUUUGAUUUACUAGUUGAUUAUGUCAUUACCGUUAAAAUGAAGUUAUCUCUGUCGUUAUUAAUUUCAUCAUUUAUGUCCUUCAAUUGGAUGGAAAUCCCAAAUCAUUUAAAAUUGCCUAAUUUAACUUAAAUUAUCCAAUUUUAACCCGACCCGACCCACCUAAUAAUAUAACCCAUUUUGUUCAUCUUCAUUUCUGUACCCUCCCCUUUUUCUCAAUUUCCUCCUCCACGCCGGAAAUCACGAAACCCCCUAUCUCUUCCGACCUCUUUCACCACCAUACAACACUCAACCAGUCACCGUAAACCACUUGGAUAUAAUGUAUUUUGCAAAUUAUAUCUAAUUUUUAUCUCAUAUAUUUCGGUAUCCUGAGAUACAUGUAGUUGGAUGCAUCAAAAUUUAGUAAGAUUCGUAAAUAAGCAAAUUAAAAUAUAUCUAACUAAUUAGCUCCUAAACUAGUGAGAUUUAUGUAAGUUUCUUAUUAUUUAAUUGUAUGCUUGAUUAUGAAUAUUAGUAUUAAAAUUUCACAUUUUUACUAAAUUGGCGGGAUUAACUAUCCAUAAAAAAGAUAUGAUAGCUAAUUCCAAGAAAUAUGAUCCCUGUCUAUCUCAUCUCACCAACCAAACAAUCCCAUAAUGUUUUACAACUGUUUUUAACCAAGAAAGAAGUAUUGAAUGCAUUCCCUCUAUUUGACUAACUAGUAUUAACUAAUACUCAUUUUAAGUUUACUUUAAAGAACCACUUUCAUAUAUGAAAUGGUUUAUUAUCUUGAUUUAUAAAGAUUAAAUUUUUUUGAUGUUUUACUUUGGUAAAUACAUAAGGGUUUUAAAAUAGUAAAUGGGAGGUGGGGCUUCUUAAAAGGUUGAAUCCAUCAAUAGCCUCUUAAGAUUGACCCGAAAUUUUCACUUAGACACCUUAAAUAAGUUUUAUUCAUUUUAAAUACCUAAUAUCAAGCUAUCAUAUUAUGUCACUUUAACACCAUUUUUUUUUACAAUCAACAAAAAUAAAUAUGUAAUAUGAGUUACACUGAAUAACAUGUAAAGUAUCAAAUUAAAUAAAAAUAUUUAUUAUUUGUCUCCAAAAUAAUUCUUAAAUAAUAAGUUUUGAGUAAAAAUAAAAAAAUCAAUUUGUAGGAUUUAUUAUUUAAUUUGGCUUCAACUAGAGUAAUUGGUAAAAUUAAUAAAUAUUACCUGAGAAUAUUGUCCAUUGUUCUUAAAGGACUCUUGAAACUUGACAUCAGGUGGAGAACCAUUCAUGAGAUUAUUGCACUAAUAAAAUUAAGUUGCAACACCUAAUUUUACUUACCAUAAUUAUUAAGAGUAAAAUUUACCUGCAUAUGAUGUAUAUACCAAUCUAAUAUAUACAUAUCAUGUGUUUGAAUUUAUGGUUCAUUUUAUCUAACCUUAAUUAAAUAAGAUUUGUUUUACUUCAUUUUAAUAAUUUAUAUUCACCAUUGAAUAUAAAUAACAGGCUAACAAUUCCAAAAAUUGAUAUUAAUGUGCUAGGAUCGCACGGAGUUAUCAUUAUCCCACAAGUAAAAUAUGUCAAUAAAGUACGAUCGAGAUUUAUACCACUAAUUAUUUUGGUACCAAUCAAGAAUGGAUCUUAAAAAUAAUGGCAAAUCACUAUUAUGCAAAAUGAUUUUUUUAGAUUAUUUUUUUUGACAAAUUAAUGAUUGAAGGAUAGGGUUUGCGUUAUAUGAUAUAUAAAACUUAGUUUUGAAUUUGAGUAAAUUGAGUGUUGAAACUCAAAGAAUAAUUGGGCAAAAUAAAAAAUAAAAAUUGCACUUCAAACACAUAUAACUGAGGUUUUAAUCAAUUUUUAUACACUUCAAUCAAUCAUAUGUACAUUAAAUAAAAAAUAAAAAUAAUGUUAAAUGAGCUUGUUAAAUUUAUUGUUAUUUUGAUAAAUUGAUGAUUUGAGUUUGUUUCAUACGAUUAUAAACCUUAUAAUUUAAAUUCAAACAUAUCUGAAUCAGAUUUGAGUAUUAAAUCAAUUGUUUGGAAGUAGAAACUAAUAAAUAAAGAACCUUGAUUUUUCUUAUUCAUAAUCACAUUAAUAUUACAUCGAGUGGAAUAUAAGCGAUAGAGCACCACAUUGCUACUUGCACUCUGUUUGGAUCAUUGUUAACCAUUGUAUUGUAUUAUAUUGUUACUAUACCUACAAUGUUUGUUUUGAUUGUUACUUAAACUGUAUUGUAUUGUACUGUUAAAUUUCGUUGUUACAUAACAAUGAAAACCCCUAUUUUAUGGAACAACCGAUUUGGUGUGUUCCCAUCGUUACUUAAUUUCUUUUUCCAAUUAUAUCUUUACAUAAUAUUUCAAAAUACUAUUUUACCCUUUACCUUAUAUUAUUUAAUUCUAGUCAAACCUCCUACCCUAGAAUAAUUAAGGAUAUUUUAGUAAAUUUAUAAAUCCUAUCCUAGAAUAAUUAAGGAUAUUUUAGUAAAUUUAUAAAUUACAAUACAGUAUGAUACAAUCAAACCAAACAAUUAAAAUGUUAUUAAACAACAACAAACAAUACGAUCUAGCCAAACAUUGUAUCUACCAUACAAUACAUUACAAUAGAGUACAAUACAAUACAAUAUAUUAUGAAACAAUGGGUAACAAUGAUCCAAACACAGUGUUAGUGGCAUGGGUUCAUUUGCACGUUUUUGUUACAUGAAUAAUAGUAUCUAUUGUCCUUCAAUGUGUGAGACAUAUAAUUAGUAUAGAGACUUGCUAUUUUAACAAAUAAUUAAAAGGUAAGGUUGGUAGACGUUAGCAGAGUAAAUUUCAUCCAAUUUUGUGUUCAUUACCUAAAGUCAUCAUGUAGGAGGUACGUUCAAAAUAAUUAUUCUUUUAAAAGUGAUCAUAUUUUAUCUUAAUCAAAUACAACUUUAACUCCAAUUUUAAAUUUUUGUAAAUAAUACUUCCUCCAUCCAUUUUUAGUUGUUAUGUUGCACUUUUCAAAAAUUAAUUUGAAUUAUUUUCAAAGUUAAAUAGAUUACAUUGAACAUAUUUUAAAUUAAAAAUUUAGAUAUUCAAAAACUAUACGAAAAGUACUAUAAAUUGCAAUUUUUUGCAUAUCAAUCUGAUAAAAAAAAUACAUCGUAAAAUAUUAGUCAAAGUUCUUAUCAUUUAACUCUAAAAAAGAAAACCAUGACAACUAAACAAAGAUGGAGUGAAUAUAAAUAUAUUUAAUUUAACAAACGAAUAAAGAUGAACUUAUAUGCUUUGAUUAUAAAAGUAGUCUAACAUUAUUUGUUUGUAAAAUUUGGAUGCAGUUAAACAUGGUUAUUAAAGAAUCACUUCGACUGUAAUUUAUUAAACGAAUGGCUUGUGAAUAUAUGAUUUGUUAAACACUUUAAUUUAUUAAAAAAAAAUUAUUAUUUUUCGAAAGAAGUACUUUUGAUCUUUUAACAACAAUGCGGCUUUUAUCCAUGGUUAUAGUUAGACGGUUUAGGUUCUCUAUAGAAAAGUUAAAUGUAUGGAACAAAUCAAAUUUAAAUUAAACCUAUUAUUUAGCGAUUGAGACGUAAAAAAUUUUUAUAUGUACAUUGUGAAUCACACAUACUCAAUGAUCCCGUAAAUCUUAAUGAUAAUUUGGAUAAAAGCCACCUAGCUGCUUAGAGGUUUAAUGAUAUAUUUUGGAUGCAUUUGAUAUUCUCUCUAAACACCUUAUCUCUAUUCCCACUUUCUAUAGUUUUCAUCUUCACCAUCCUACACUUUUACUAAUAUUCAUGAUAUGUCUUUUAAUAUUACUUGUUUAAAUUAUAUAGGGAAAAUGCAUAAGUACCCCCAACCUAUGCUCGAAAUCCCAGAGACACUUAUACUAUACUAAGGUCCUAUUACCCUCCCCCCCCCCUCCUAACUUAUUUUAUAAAUAAUUUUCUACCCCUUUUCGGCCUAUGUGGCACUAUCAACCAGAUAGCUUGAAAAAAUUGUCAACACGCGUUGGGCCCAGAAGAUAGUGCCACGUAGGCCAAAAAGGGGUAGAAAAUUAUUUAAUAUAUAUGAUGUAUGUAAUUUUUUAAAUUGUUCAAAGGGUAAAGGGUCAAAUAUGCCCCUAAACUAUUCAAAAAGGUCCAGUUAUACCCUCUGUUUAAAGUUUGGCUCACUCAUGCCCUCGUCGUCCAACUUUUCGUCUAAAUAUGCCCUUAUGGGCGUUAGUUGGCAUGCUGGACAUAUCCAGCUCAUUUUCCAUUUCUUUAACUACCACAUGGAAUUGCCAUGUCAUUUUGACUUUACCACAUGACAUUUAUAUAAAAAUGGAAAGGGAUCAAUUAUGCUCCUAAAAAAUUCGAACCCAUUAACACCUAAUCCGACCCAUAAAUCAACCCCCCCCCCCUCUUUUAAAUAAACUACCCGACCCGUUUUCAACAAUUUUGUUUAAAUUUUUAUUUUUUUCGGUAAAUCCUGAAAAUUAGUAAUUGAUAAUAAAAAAUAGGAAAAAUAUAAAAUUAACACCAAAAAUUCACAAAUAAAUAUUGUAACCUUAAAUUCAACAAUUUUUAAAAUUUUGUUUUUUUUUGGUACAUUCCAAAAAUGAGUAAUUGAUUAAUAAAAAAUAUGAAAAAUAUGAAAAAAAAAAAUAAAAUUAACGCCAAAAAAUCACAAAUAAAUAUUGUAACCUUAAAUUCAAAAAUUUCAACAAUUUUUUUUAAUUUUUAUUUUUUUUAAUAAAAUACUCAUUUUCGGAAUUUGUNNNNNNNNNNNNNNNNNNNNNNNNNNNNNNNNNNNNNNNNNNNNNNNNNNNNNNNNNNNNNNNNNNNNNNNNNNNNNNNNNNNNNNNNNNNNNNNNNNNNNNNNNNNNNNNNNNNNNNNNNNNNNNNNNNNNNNNNNNNNNNNNNNNNNNNNNNNNNNNNNNNNNNNNNNNNNNNNNNNNNNNNNNNNNNNNNNNNNNNNNNNNNNNNNNNNNNNNNNNNNNNNNNNNNNNNNNNNNNNNNNNNNNNNNNNNNNNNNNNNNNNNNNNNNNNNNNNNNNNNNNNNNNNNNNUAUUUUUUUCAUAUUUUUCCUAUUUUUUAUUAAUCAAUUACUAAUUUUCGAGAUUUAUCAAAAAAACAAAAAUUUAAACAAAAUUGUUGAAAACAAGUCGGGUAGUUUAUUUAAAAGGGGGGUUGAUUUAUGGGUCGGAUUAGGUGUUUAUGGGUUUGAAUUUUUUUAGGGGCAUAAUUGAUCCCUUUCCAUUUUUCAUAUAAAUGUCAUGUGGUAAAGUCAAAAUGGCAUGGCAAUUCCAUGUGACAUUUAAAGAAAUGAAAAAUGAGUUGGAUAUGUCCAGCAGACCAACUAACGCCCAUAAGGGCAGAUUUAGACGAAAAGUUGGAUGGCGAGGGCAUGAGUGAGCCAAACUUUAAACGGAGGGUAUAUCUAGACCUUUCCGAAUAGUUUAGGGGCAAUUUGACCCUUUACCCUUGUUCAAAAUACAAAUAAUUAGAAAACCACGCAAAUAUAUAUAUAUAUAUAUAUAUAUAUAAUACAUUCAAUUAAAAUCACAAACGUCAUAUACAAAUAAACGACUCACAUUUCAAAUUGUAUUGAUUUGUAUUGGAUUUAUUUAGUAACAAAACUCUCUCUAAAUAAUUUGUAAGCUAAUUUAUUUAAAUAAAUUUACUAGUACAAACAUAAAUCAUAAAAUCAAGAAAAUAAACAAAAUAAUUAAAAUAGAUUUGAGGGAUAUUUUUGUUCUUUACAUAGACUUAUCCCAUGGUAUUAUAUCCUAUAAUACCAUGUAGGAGGUAUAACUAAUCCAUGGAUUAGUUAUACAUAGGCUCAAAAUCCUACCAAAUAUAGUACUAAAUAAUACCUUACAUAAUACAUGGACUAUUUCUUCUAAUGUGGCCUACCAAACGACCCCUAAAAGGAUUACACAGCUAAAGACAUAAAAUUUACAUUAAAAAAUGCAAAUUCAUGAAGUUUGGGAGGUGGGGGUUAAUGUUUCAAUUAUUAAUUAAUUCUAUUUUAAUUCACUCAAUUUACUCCAUGCACUACAAAAAAUACGGGUUUUAGCAACACGUAAAACCGUGGCUAACACGACUUUGCCAUAGUCAUUUAGCCACCGUGGCUAUAACGGGUGCCACCAACAAAUUUGCCACGGUUUAGGCGACCGUGGUAACAUUUUGUUAGCCACGAUUUGAUGUGAAAAUAGUCACGGUUGAUCGUGGCGAAAUAUCACCAAUGAAAAUGUUCAUAAUAUAUAUUUACCAUGGUUGAACCGUGGCUAAAUACACUUUUUUAAUUAAAAAAAAAUUUCAAUUAUUUCCCAGCAAUACCCUGCAACCAAUGCAUUAUUUGAUAGGCAUCCACUAAUACACUGACCAUAAUACACAAAUCCUAUGCUCAAGAUGGUAUUUUUUAUUAACUGGACACAUAUCAAUUCAACGAGAAUCUAAGGUGCUUAUUGAAGGAACUAAAUAUACAUUGGCAUCCAUAAAUAUUUGAAGUGCCAAGGCAUAUGGUAUCUCUUUCAGGGUCUGUUUUCCUUCAUUUGCCUUAAGCUCAACAAUUCUCCUAAAAGAUUCGAAAGUAACGAUGCAAUAAGUUAGACCUCACAACAGUGAUAAACCUCAAUCAUACAACGCAUGUUAGAUUCCUUAUUUAUGCCAACAAUUAGAUAAACUAAUUUAAAUAGAUAGUUUUUUCCAAGGGAAACUCUUUAUUAACUGAAUAUGAUGUUUCAUUUGUCAUAUCCAAGUGGAUACAUGGAUUACAAAGAAAAUGGGAUUACAUAGGUCAAUCAAUGUUGAGGUGCCUCUUAAUUUAAAAAAUCAGCUGCAGCAGGAUGUAGACACACAUUUACAAAAUUGAAUAAUUGCACAUUAAAGGCAUAAAAUUUGUAGGCUAUCAUAUACGAUGAAAACAUAUGUCAAACGAACAAAGAAAUAUCAGCAAGAACCCAGUACAUACUCAACAAAUUCCACAGAGAAAUCCAAGAUCAACAGUUUGACAAAUGUCAAGAGGUAGUAUCAGAUAUACAUUUAGAAUAAAGGAGAAAAAAAGAUAUGAGUAGGCAUACAUCUUUAUUUUUUUUAAUAAGAUAGGCAUACAUCAAUUUUUCUCAAUUUGGACGGAGAGGGCACUUUCUGUUCUCAUCAGUCCCAUCAAAUGAGUGGAAGAUAUUGGUAAAAUCAUUCCGGAGGGCUGAAAUUUUAGUUAUGUUUAUUGUUAUCAAAGGUUAAAAGCACCAAAAGAAUAGUUGUUUUGUGAGAUGCCAAACAAUAUGCAACACAAUUGAUAAGCAUUGUACCUUGAAGAAAUCAUAUACAUGAUACUUGAACACCGAAUGAUAUGAUGAGUAACGAUCUGUAACAAAUUCUUUUAGCUGAAAUUAAGCUCCCAAGAACUACAAACCAGCAAAUAAAACAGAUUAGGAUUAUAGGAGAGCACACACAAUCAGUUCAUAUGUUAGAGACAUAACACAUAUUUUCAAAACAAGUAAGAUGAGAGAAUUACAAGUAAAACAAAGUGAAAAAAAGUUAAAUCCACCAAAUAUUUAGUGAAUAAGGAAAGCAACCUUGUAAUCAUAUGUGUUUUAGAUAAGCAUGAUUAGAGAAAUAUGCAAAAAAAAUUGAUAAUGUAUUUUUAGGAGAUUUAUUGCAGGCAUGAACCACAAUUGCAAUAACAUUGCAUUUCAAGGAAAAGUUUUGCUUAAAAUACCUUCAACCAACCUUUAACUAAAUGAUGGGAACAAGUAGAAGGAUGAUCUAGUCAUGAAACAAGAAUAAAAGAAAAGAGAGAAAAAUACUUUUAGAAUAACUAUAGAAUCGGCACUAUAAUAUACUACUCCCUCUGUUUUUAUUUUAUGUAACUUAGUUUGACGGGCCACAAAGUUAAAGGUGUGUAUAACAUAUCAAAAGUACCCUAUGAAUCUUAUGGUCUUAAAUAACCAGAAAGCUCUAGUGACCAAUUCUAAGAAUUGACAACAUCAAUGGUACUUAGAUAAUGUUCUUAGAGAUUAUACAUUUUCAAGGUGACUGCUAAAACAAAAUAUAAUCAUGAGGCAGAACACUAGAGCAAUCAAGUGGUAUACUCCCAAAUUCAUCUCAUUGUUUUAACAAGUAGAUUUGAUCAAAAGGCUCAAAUUUAAGCUUCAAAGUAUCCAACAAGAUGUUAAAUGCUAAGAACUUGUUUUCAUCUUCAUUUCCACAAACAUGAGCUCACACUUCACAGACAUACACAAACAAAAAAAAUGCAAUAUAAGUCCAUAGAGCCAAAUCAAAAUAAUCAUAUCUGGGCUAGAUUUCAUAUUUACUCAACUUGCUUAUUGAGAAGCAAUAUACUACGUGAAACAAAAUAAAAACAAAGAACUAUAAUCGAGGAUGAAACAUGGGAACAACAUGACACUUAACACAAAUGCAAUUCAAUAGUCGUACCAAUUCAAGAUAUUGUUGGAAAAUGGUCAUGCUGUGUAAAUACAGGGAAAAUGCUUCUCACUCAAUUCCUGUUAUAUUGUUAUAAGAUAUACACAUUUUUUUAUCCUUAUGUAUUCAAGUGUCACAUUGAUAAUUUACACUAUUGCAUCGUAGGAUGCAAUUCAUAUCAAAUGAGGAAACAAACCUAAACAAAUAUGUCCAGUGCUUAAAUGUGAGGAUGCGAUGGAGCUGGAGGGAUGAAAACAACCUAUCAAGUCAACAGAUAAAAUGCUAUACUGAAGAUAAAAUAAACUUUUAAAGAAAAGAAUACUAUAGAUAGGCAAGCUAAUGUUUUAUACGAUUAAAUCAUUCUAGACAUAAAACAAGAAGUUAGGUCAACGAAAAAACACAUAUAUAUUAAUGUAUUUCAUAAUUUUCUGAAGUGUUUCCCAAAAGACAAUCGUACAUUAUACAACCAAUACUAGUGGUGUCACCUACUCAAUAGACCGAGAAAUAUGAGGCUCUAAAACUCUUAAUUAUAUUCAAAGUCUUCCUAUACUUGGCAAGCUGAUUUUCAAUAAACAUUGAACAAUUAACAUUUAUUUACCUUAGUGGAGCUUGAGAAACCAAUCUCCUUUACGGUAUUUUUAGAGAAUCAUAACAGAGCUUCAGAACUGGACCCAAGUCAUAACAGAGCAAAAGUUGAAAAUUAACAAUCAAGAAACCUAAAUUAGUAAAAAUAUUCAAAAAAAAAAAACAUGCAGAAAUUUGAACAAUAAAACAUCAAAAGUUAUAGAAAUUUUAGAGAUUACAAAACAUUAAUUUUCUUUUGUAUUCAUGCAUGGGUUGGGGUGAAAGGGGGAAUUUGGGUUACCAAACAGUUUCUUUACUCGAGAUUUUUCAAAUUUUUGUACUAAAAAAACCUCAAAGAAACCAUUGAAUAUUGAACAAACUAUUGACUUGAAACUCCUGGAUAGCAAAGAUUUGUUACAUGAAAAAAGUGAAUUUACCAUUUCCGCUACUAUUCGAAGCAAGGCUACAAUAUUCUGCUAUUGUUCGAACCAUUCAAAAAAAUUUGGAGUGAAGCAAAUUAGUGUGAUUUUGGAUGAAGCUAAUUUUGGGUGAAGAAUUUUUUUGGGUAAAACAGAUUUGUGUGAUUUUGGAUGAAGUAGGAUUUUGGGUGAAGUAGAUUUGGGUGAUUCUCGAUGAAAAAAAGUUUUGGCUGAUUUUGGUUGAAAAGAAAUAGGGGCAAAUGAAAUAAAAAGUGAGGGAAUGAAAUUAUAUUACCUGCCUAAUUUGCCCACGUUAUUUUAGCAUCGUUCUCUUAUUCGUAGGAAACAUUAACACUUCCUAUUAAUUUUGCCACGGUUUUUAGAACUGUGGCUAAUAAACCGUAGCUAGAACUCAUUUUUUGGUAGUGAUGUAAGAGAGUUGCACUAAUUCGAGCUAAAUAGGUAGUCGAUCUAGAUUGACUCACGACUGGGCUGACUCUUACUUUAAAAUAAUUAAGGCAUAUGCCUUAGGUUCUUAAUUAGAGGUGUACAAAAUCGAACCAAAAACUGAAUCAAACCGCAAAUUGAGUCAAACCGGAAAAAAAACCCGACUAGUGGUUUGGUUUGAGUUGGUUUGGUAUUGGAAAAAAACAACCCGAUUAUAUUUGGGUUGGUUUGAUUUUAACUAAAAAAAACCAACCCGACAUUAUAUAUGCAAUUUUAAAAUUUUAUUUUAUACAUAAAAAUAUUUAUUUUGAUAUAAUUUUAAAAUAUUUCUUAUACUAUUUCAUAGUUUUUAUCUUUUAAUAUAUUAUUUCAAAUUUAAAACUUAGAAUUUGGAAUGGUCCAAUAGAGAUUAUAGUUGAUAGAUGUUAAUAAUUAUAAUAAAACUUAAAUCAAAAUCAAAUUAAUACUAAUGCAAAAAAUAAUCAAUUCAACACUAGAAUGACAAUAAUAUUGAAUAUUUGUUCUUUAGUUUUACAUUGGUUUAGACAAUUAAAUUACAUAAUCUAAUUUUAAUUUUACUUAAAUAUUCAGUAAUGUAACUAUUACUUAUUAAACUAAUUUUAGCAUGAUUUAGUACUUUUAAAUUAUGAUCAUUUUCAUUAUGACUUUGCAAUAUUUAUUUUAUAUGAUGAUUUCAUUAUUAUUUUUAUUGAAUAUUCGCAUCUCAUAUUUGUGUUAUUUUCUUAAGAAAUACCUUAGAUAAUUGUAUUUUGGUUGUACUAAAUAAAGAAAUAUUUGGAGCACAAGUUAAUUAUAUGUUUGUAUGCAAACUUUACCGAAAAAAAUCCAAAAAUCUGAAAAAAAUUCAAGGUUUAUUAGUUUGGUUUGAUUUAUAAAUUUAAAAAUUUGACACAAUGAUUUGGUUUGAUAUUUGGAAAACCCGAACGAACCCGAGGUUAAAAAACCCAAAAAAAUCUGAAUUUUAUUAGUUUGGUUUGGUUUAAAAAUUUAAAAAUUUUACAAAAAUGGUUUGGUUUGAUAUUUGAAAAACCCGAACCAACCCGGUCUUGUACACCCCUUCUCUUAAUUUUGGAGGGAUUAAUUUUUUACUAAGAAUAAAUGAUGUGCUAGUUUUUUUAUUUAUAGAAAAAUGAUAGUUAUUUUAUUCUCUUAACCCUAUAAAAAUAGAAGAAAUCAAGAAAAUGUUAACAUAACUACUAUAAAAACAACUUUUAGUGGAAAUGAAUAGAUCACAUUAAUAAAGAGUGCUAAAGUAUUUACCGGCAUUAGUUAAGUGUCAUUAGAUCCAAUGUCGCUAAAGACUUUAGGGACAUAUACAAAGAGUGCUAAUUGUCGCUAAAAAUACAUAUUUAGCGGCAAUUGAGCUAUUGCCGUUAGUUGCCACUAAAGAUCAUUUUUCAUGUAGUGUCCGUCCAACAAUAGUUAUCCAUUAUACUAUUUUGGAAUGUCAAACAAUACUUGUUCACUCUAUGAAAUCAAUGGAUAAUUUUACACUUAGUUACUAAUUUACCCUUAUCUUUAAUUAUAGUAAUUUUCUCUAUUACAUUUUUUAAGACACUAUAUUUAUUAUAUUCAAAGGGUGAUAUAGUAAAAUCAUCCUACUAUUUAUAGUUUCUUAAGAAGUGUACAAUGUCAGUAGUGGACAACUAUUAUUGGACAGGGAGAAUAAUAAUAUGUUUCAAACUUGUUUUACACAAAUUUAAAAAGCAUUUAUAUUUUUAAAAAAUAGGGUCUUUGGCUAGGGUGCUUCUCUGACUCAUAAUUAAUGGCAUACACAACAUUCAUAGCUAUGACAGUCUUCGGUCUUCCGCCCAAGUAACAUUUAGACUUACCAGGGUUGUGGUGCACUGGUAGGAGUGUUUCACCCUUAAUCAUAGGUCUUGGAUUCGAGCUUUGAGUAUAGAGAAAAUUUUGUUGAGAGCGUCACAUUCGAAUAGGCCCUGCAGAGCGCAAUCCAAAUUUAGUCGGAGGUGAAUUUCGAACAUCGAGUGAGAAAAAAAAACAUUUAGACUUAGUAAGAGUUGGAUGGACAGCUCGUUUCAUGGCCCAUAAUUUAGCUAUCUUAAACCCAAUUCAUUUCCUUCCGUCCAAGUAAUAUUUAGAUUGAAUCAUAAACUUAUUCAUUUAUCAUAUCAUUAUAAUUCAAUCCGUCCCCAUAUCUGACACCCACCCUUUAUUAUAUGGUUAAGCAUGAAAAUAUGUAUGGAUCACAAUUCACACAUAGAAACACAAAUUAAAUGUAUAUAUAGGAUAUGCAUGAUAAUUAAAGGAGAUGCAUAUUCGAACAUAGCUAGCUAGCUAGCUUGUUUUAUUCAUAACUCAUAAGCAUGCAUUAAUUAAAAUUACCUAGAGCCUGGAGACGCAUCCACUUUAAUUUAUUCCUUAACGAAGACAAUGGGAAGAGCUAGGGUUUUCACCGGAAGCCACGAGAGGAUAUAAUCCGUAAUCAAAAGUCAAGCUCACACAAUUAAGUUGAGGGGAAUCCGUACAAUACAUUAACUUGUAUGCAUUUUCCAAUUCUUGUUCCUCCGACGUCUCAUAUUUCAAAAUCAUUGUUUAGAGGCUUCAUAGACGGAUAGUUAUAGUUCUUUAGUCUUAUUCAUUUCAGAUAUUGUUUAAAAACUUGAGUUUGCCUUAUUGGCUAGUUGAAUGCUUUCUUAUUAACAUUCUUAAGUUAUAUGGGUUUAUCUCUGUUAAGUUAAACUGAGUAAGUAAGUCAGGCCAAGGAUUCGCUUGGGGUCAGCAAUGGUUAUCUAGUGCCAGUCCUGCCGCGUGACACAAACACAAAUUAAAUGUAUUGCAUAUGAUAAUUAAAGGACGUAUUCGAAGAUAGUAGCUUGUUUUAUUCAUAACUCAUAAGCAUACAUUAAUUAAAAUUACAUGGAGCGUGGAAACGCGAUUGAACGAUCCACAUUAAUUUAUUCCUUAAGGAAGACAACGGGAAGAGGGUUUUUACCGUCAGCCACCAGACGAUGUAAUCCAUUAUGAAAAGUCAAGCUGACAUGUUUACACAUUAUAAGUUGAGGGGGAUCCGGACAAUACAUUAACUUGUAUACAUUUUCCAAUUCUUGUACCUCAUGUUUCAUAAUCUUGAACAAGUAAUUGCUUUCAUUUCCUAUGGUACCACCAGUCACCACGAACUGAUCUUUAUCAUCACUAACUUUCCAAAUAGCUAGUUUCGUUAAAACACGGACUAGAUAGAUAUAUCAAGUGUUGAGAACAUGAUAUCAAUGUCAUCCGUUUCACGCACCACAUCAUCAUCAUUAUCAACCAUAAGAACGAAUUUCACGGGGGUGCCUUUUCCUAUCAAACCGGGAAUCGGUACGUGCUGCAACAUGGUGUUAGGGCAUUCAAGGUGUCCAAUAUUGGCCAAGUAUACGGAUCCGCCUCCAAUGAGAGGAUUAUGAAUAAUGUACUUUUCACCAAUGUACGUAGUGUGGUAGGCGGUCCAUGUCCAACACUUGAGGAGCUACAUCAUCAUCAUCAUCAUCAUUAAUAUUAUUAUUAUUAUGAGUAGUUGUGGGGAGGACAAUGGGAUUGUUGGAAGUGAAAGAUCGACAAAAGGCAACAAAGGGAAACAAAGAGAGUAAGAGGAAACUCAAAAUAUUAAUCAACUUCAUCUUUAAUUUGAGUGUGUUGUGUGUAUAUUUUGCUUACUCUAUCUCCAAUUUAUAGACCACCACAUGUAUGUAACAACAUUUUUGAGAAACAAAAAAUGCCUACCUUUUAGGUUAGGUUAGUGACAUGAUUUAUUAACUAGAUCUAAUUAUAAGUAGUAUAAAGACUUUCUAUUUUAACAAUGAAUUAAAAUAUAUAUAUAUAUUGUUAGAAAACAUAAGCAAUGUGGAGAAAUUUUCUGUGUAUUUCUUCAUGAAAAAAAUCACUGUGCAGCCUUCUAGUAUAUAUACAAAUUCUAUUCUAUCCUAAAUUGUGUGAACUAUGAAAUUAAUGCAAUAUGUAUUUACACUUGUCAUUUCAUUAUUGGUCUUCUUCUAACAAACUCCAAACGGCUGUCAUGUGCCAUACAUGUGCUAUGGUUGAGAAAUAUCUAGAAUUAUACAUUUGUACCAUACAGCUGGAUGGCUCUGAUUAAUUUGAUUCAAUAAGAGAUCUUUGCCCCUGAUGUUGCCACGCGUCCUUUAGACCUUUUUGUAUGCCUAUGUUGUUUUUGUCCGAAACUAGGAGAACUUUGAACAUUGUUUCCUUUCAUCAUCUCCUUAUUUUUACUUUUUCUGUAAACUCACCAUGGCCAUAAUCAUGAUGUUCUUGAUUAUCGACACCCCUUCAAGGUGAAGGGAAAGAAACGACACCCAACUUGGAAAGAAUCGAGAAGUGUGAAGGACCAGAGAGAGCCUUUGUGAACAGAUUAGCCAACUGAGCAGAGGAUGGAACAAAAGAUAGAGAGAUCAACCCGGAAAGGAAUUGUUGUCUCACGAAGUGGCAAUCAACCUCAACAUGCUUGGUUCGUUCGUGAAACAUCGAAUUUUUUGCAAUAUAAAUAGCAGCUUGGCUGUCAGAGUGAAGAGGCACAUGCAAUGAUGGAUAAAUGGAUAGAUCUACAAGAAGUCAGGUUAACCAGGUAAGUACCGCAAUAACUCUCCUCAUAGACCUGUAUUCUAAUUCAGCGGAAGAUAGUGAAAUAAAGGCUUGUUUCUUGGACUUCCAAGAAACUGGUGAGCCACCAAGGCUAAUAAAGAAACCACUAAUAGAUCUCCGACUAUCUCGACAAGAUGCCCAGUCAGCAUCACAUAAAGCAAUCAGGAAAAAUGAUGAUGUAGGAUUGAAGAACUGACCUUGGUCUGGAUUGAGUCGUAGAUAUCUCAACACUCGAAGUGCAGUAUCAAAAUGGCCCUGACACGGCUGUUGCAUAAAUUGACUAAGAGUGAUGACUAAGAAUGAAAGGUCUGGCCGUGUAUGUGUGAGAUAGUUCAAUUUAUCCACUAAUCUCCUGUAAAUGGAAGGAUCUGCAAGUAAAGGACAUGAUGAACUAGUGAGCUUAGAACAAGGGUCAAGUGGAGAGGAGACUGUAGGUAGAGAUGUGCAAUCAAAUUCUUGUAACAAAUCUAGUGUGAAUUUUCGCUAACCAAUAAUACAACCAUGUUCUCCUCUUAAAAUUUCCAUGCCAAGAAAAUAAUGAAGCUCCCCUAAGUCCUUGAUUUGGAAUUUAGAGUUGAGAAAAUCCUUCAUAGUGGCAGUUUCAAUAGGAUCAUCCCCGGUAAUCAAAAUAUCAUUAACGUAGACAACAAUAAUUGAAAUCAGAUCCCCUGUUUUGUUGAAAAACAAAGAAUAGUCAUUAAGAGAUAUUGUAUAUCCUUUAAAAGUCAGGGCUCCUGCAAGCUUGACAUGCCAUUGCCUUGAAGCUUGUUUGAGCCCAUAUAGUGACUUUUGAAGCUGGCAAACAUGAUUGGGACUGGGUGAUGCCAUUCCUGAAGGAAACUUCAUGUAGACUUCCUCUUGAAGGUCGCCAUGAAGAAAAGCAUUAUUAACAUCAAAUUGUGAAAUAGACCAACCUUUCUUGACUGCAAUGGCAAUGAGACACCUAAUGGUUGUCAUUUUGACAACUGGGGAAAAAGUCUCAGUGUAGUCUAUGCCUUUCCUUUGUAUGUCAUCUCUUUUCACAUGUCGUGCCUUAUAUCUUUCAAUUAAUCCAUCAGAAUGUUAUUUAAUUUUGUAUACCCAUUUGCAAGGUAAAGCCUUCUUGCCAGUAGGUAACAACAUGACCUUUCAUGUAUUGUUUUCUUCCAAAGCUAUAAUCUCUUUUUGCAUUGCAAACUGCCAAUUAGGAUCCAAACUAGCUUGUUUGAAACUAGUAGGUUCUGAGUAAGCACUAAUAGAACCAAGGAGAUAUUGAUUCUGUAAGGAUAAAGCUCCAAAAGAAAAAGUAGAUGAGUGCACAGGUUGUGCUAAACAAGUGUCUGAAAUGUUAGUGAGAAACACAUGAUUAUAGACAAAAUCAUUUAGAUAUGCAAGCCUCUUACUUUCCCUGUUAGAUUUUCGGAUAAUAGGUGUGGAAGGGGGUGGAGAUACAAGGAGAAAAGAAGGGGAAAAUGAAGCAUAUGAUUGAGGAGAUGUGCUAGAGGAGGAUGAAGGAAUAUGGAGGGUUGCAGAGUCAAUAGAGGAGUCAGGAGUGAAGGAAGAAAUAGGAAAAAUUGGCUCAGAAUCUGAUUGAAGAUUUGAGAAAGGGCAAAUGUGCUCACAAAAUUGAACAUCUCUAGAUAUAAAGAUCAUUUUAAAUGAUAUGUCAGGAAGUUAGUAUCCUUUUUGGCCCUGUGGGUAGCCCAAAAAUACACAAGCAAUAGCCCUGGGAUCAAACUUGUUUCGAUUACUGCGCAAAGUAGAGGCAUAACAUAGACAACCAAAAGCUUGCAAAAACUUAUAAUCAGGACAUUUCUGAAAAAGAAUCUCAUAAGGGGUUUUCCCAUGAAGUACUCUGGAAGGAAUUUGAUUAAUAAGAAAAGUAGCAGUCAAUAAACAAUCCCCCCCCCCCAGUAGCAUUUAGGAAGUUUGAAUUGAAAAAGUAAAGACUUUGCAAUUUCUAAUAAAUGUCUAUGUUUCCUCUCAACAACCCCAUUUUGUUGAAGUGUAGCAACACAAGAUGUUUGAUGAAUGAUCCCUUUUGACCUCAAAAAUUUUGCUUCAUGUACCCCUUUCCCCAAUUCUAGAGCGUUAUCGGAUCGAAGCUUUUUCACCUUAAGGUCAAAUUGUCUCUCAACCAUGGAUAAAAAAUGUUUCAAAACGGAGAAAGCAUUAAUCUUAGUAGUUAAUAAGUAUGUCCAAGUACCCCUACUAAAAUCAUCAACAAAAGUAAGAAAAUACUUAUAUCCAUGGUAAGUAAGAACUUUGAAAGGUCCCCAAGUGUCCAUAUGAACCAGUUCAAACACCCUUUUAGAAGAAACAUGACUAAUGGAAAAGGGUAAUCUGGUUUGUCUAGCAAGGGGACAUAUGUCACACACACAAGAAUAAUUAGAAGGAAAAGAAAUGAAACUGAAAUUUUUUAUAGCUGAAUAAGGCAAAUCGCCUAGUCUGGCAUGCCAAAGAGCUACAUCAGAAACAACACUAGCAGAAAAAGAAAAACAAAGAUGGACAUUUUUGGAAUCACUUCCUUCUAGUAAAGAAACUACAUUACAUAGAGAUUGAAUACUAGUACUAGAAAUGACAGAUUCUAAAAGAUAAAAAUCCUCUUUAGCUUCACCAAAAUCUUGUUUCAUCUUCAUUGAACGGUCCUGCAUGACACACUUUUCAGGAUUAAAUAAGAGAAAACAACCAAAUUGACUACAGAACCUAUGAACAGACAACAAACUAUAUCUGAAAGAAGGAACAAAAAGAACAUUUUGUAGAACAAGAGUAGGAAAAAUGGCUAUGUUGCCAGUGUGUGUGACCUUAAUCCUGUAAGAAUUAGGUAAAUUUAUAGUGACAGGUGCUGGAUGAGGGACAAGAUUGAGAAAGGAAGUAGGUUCAUAACAUAUGUCUUCAGAAGCCCCUGAGUCUAUGAUCCAAGUCUAAGAGUUAAAAACAGAGAAACAAGAAGUAGAAUAUUAAGUAAUAGUACCAGCCACAACAUUUGCAUUAAUCUCUGAGCUAGUACCAGCUCUAGAAGUGGUCUGUCCUUGUUUGAAAAUCUGUUUCAUAUGUGAAAUUUGACUCUUACUCAGGGAUUGCAGGAAAUGCUCAUCAGAAUCUUCAUAUCCAAUAGGUGAAUGCCCAUAACUAUCCUUAAUAAGUUCUCUAUUCCCAUUGAUAGGUGUUUGAAAUCCUUUAGUGAACUGAAAAUCUUCUUGGUACCCCAUCAAUCUAUAACAGUCAUCUUCUACAUGCCCAGUCUUUAGACAAUGAGUACAACUCACAUUAGGAUUGUAUUUCUUCCUUCUUACUUUUCUUGGAUUCUAAGGUGUAAAAUUCCUUUGAGGAUUUGCUGAAGGCCUUUGUCCCUGAGAUUGCCCACCAGAAUGUUGAAAUCAUCCUCCAGACCUUUGUGAAGACUGACCUGGGUGACCAGGCUUCUGCAUUUGGUUUCCAAGUUUCAUUUGGGAGUUGAAAUUCUUAGCCAUAAAUGAAGAGUUGUUAGGGGAAAAUUGUGGAUUAAUAUAAACUUCUCUCUGAUUGUCAUCCUGAAGCAAGAGAGAGUAAGCAUGGUUGAUUCCUGGCAAAGGAUUCAACAUGAGAAUAUUACCCCUUGCUUGAGCAUAAAGAUCAUUCAACCCCAUAAGAAAUUGAAUUAGCCGCUAAUCUUCAACAAAUUUAGUCAUCUUUUGCUUCCCUGUACACACACAAGGACAUGUACAACCAACAUGAGAGUUGAGAGAAUCCAACUCAUCCCACAGCCUUUUUAAUUUAGUGAAAUACCCUGCUAUAUCAUUGGAUCCUUGCACUAACCCAGUCAUUUCUUUUUGCAUGUGGUAUAAUUUAGCACCAUUCGACUAGCCAAAUCUCUGUUCUACAUCUGUCCAGAGGUCCUUGGCAGUCCUGGAGUAGAUGACAGAGUGAGCUAUAUCCAUGGAUAACGAGUUAAGUAGCCAAGAAGUUACCAUGGCAUUGCAUCUAUACCAAGAAGAAAAAGUGGGUGUUGUGUUCAAAGGCUCUACACAACUACCUUCAAUAAAACUCAGUUUGUUCUUAGCUGACAAAGCAAUUAGGGCAGAUCUCCUCCAUCCCUGGUAACCCCUCACAUCGAAGGUGCUAUUAACAAGAUUCAUACCUGGUACAUCUGAAGCAUGAAGAAAAGAGGAUUACUAAAAUAAAAAAUACUCCCUAUUGCUGUUUGACCUACAGCAAAUAGGAGCUAUAGCAGUAGGAAUGACCCAUUCUGUAUCCAUUAUUUAAAAAGGGGGGAUGAACACAGAAAUUUGUAUAAGAGCAAAAAAUUGUGGAUCUUAAUGCUCUAUACCAUGUUAGAAAACAUAAGCGAUGUGGAGAAAUUUUUUGUGUAUUUCUUCAUGAAAAAAUCACUGUACAUCCUUCUAGUAUAUAUACAAAUUCUAUUCUAUCCUAAAUUGUGUGAACUAUGAAAUUAAUGCAAUAUGUAUUUACACUUGUCAUUUCAUCAUUGGUCUUCUUCUAACAAACUCCAAAUGGUUGUCAUGUGCCAUACGUGUGCUAUGGUUGAGAAAUAUCUAGAAUUGUACAGUUGUACCAUACAGCUGGAUGGCUCUGAUUAAUUUGAUUCAAUAAGAGAUCUUUGCCCCUGAUGUUGCCACGCGUCCUUUGGACCUUUUGUAUGCCUAUGUUGAUUUUGUCCGAAACUAGGAGAACUUUGAACAUUGUUUCCUUUCAUCUCCUUCUUUUCUUUUUCUGUAAAAUCACCAUGGCCAUAAUCAUGAUGUUCUUGAUUCUCAACAUAUAUAUAUAUAUAUAUAUAUAUAGUAUAGCUAAAAGAUUUUGUUUUCAAAUAAUUUAUUAUGAUUAAAAAUUAAUUACUAUUGUUACACUAACUUUUAUUGCGUGACUAAAAUUUCCAAUAGGUCAUAGACUCAUAGACUAUAGUUGUGUGAAAGUCGCGACAGACAACUGUAUAUUCAGUUUUUAUUAUUUUCCUUGUUUUUUCUUGUAAAUUCUUAACUCAACCUAAAAAUGAAAAAUUAAAUAUUUCAUUGCAAAUCUAUAUAAAGUUCCCAGUUUUAUUUUCUCAACUUUUAUUGUAGUAAAGAAGUUGAGAAAUUAGCUUUGUUAUUUUAAUUUCUGUAGCUAAGAUAUUUUAUGAAUUUGGACCACAUAUUAAAUAUGAAUUUAAUUUUUUUAGCUAAGAAAAUUCAUAUAUAAAUAUUUACAGCCUAAUUUGGACACAGUUAUUCAGAGUAGCUCGUACAAAAACAUUGGAAUGUCUCUUUCGGAAUAUUGUAAUUAUGGCUCCAUGGACCACUUAAUAUCACAUAAAAUAAAUCAAUUGAAAUAGAUUCUAGUUUAUAUUUUUUAACUUACAAGUGAUAAGCCAAAAAUUAAGCUAAACACACCCUUUGUCUCUUAUUUUUCUUUUUUAAUUUGUCUAAAAACAAAUUAUUUUAUAUUUAAAUAUAAUUUAACUUUUAAAUUCUCAUAUAUAUUUAAUGAGAUAAUUUAUAAUGACAUAAAUAUUUAAUAUAAUAAUUUUGUACCAAAAAUUUCAUGAAUGAUCACCUAAAACACACCACCUACCGGAACUAAGACAUCCACACACGCAGUGGCGGAUGUAGAGUGUGUCCAGGGGGGUCAUCCGACCCCCCUCGAAAAAAAAUUACACUAUAUAUAUAAGAUUAAUUUUUUGUGUACGUGUAUAUAUUUAAAAUUGAACCCCCUGAGCAUAUGUCAAAGGAGUAGCUCAAUGGUUUAUGGGGUUCAGGAUUUCGCCUAUGUUUUAUUUGAACCCCCUCGAUAGAAUUCCUGCCUCCGCCACUGCACACACGAUAAAUAUAUAAAACUGGUAGAAUACCGACGUGGUAUAAUUCAAUCAAUCCACGUACAAAAUUUUAACCAGGGAGAUGUUUGGAUACUGUAGUGGAACAUCAAAAUAUAAUGCAAAUUAUUUUGUGGAUAUCUGAACUAAAACUAUGAUAUGGAUCAUUCUUUGAAAUUUGAUCACAUAUAAUCUAAUCUCGAUAAUUUGUCAGAAUUGGUUAUAAAUUUUUGAUAGAUUAUUAUAAUUUAUUGUGUGAAAAUUUCACCAGUAUGAUCAUGCUUCAACGUAAAUCUUCAAAAAUAAAUAGAUUUACUUUAUCUUUGAUCCUCAACAUUUAAAGCUCAUUAAAAUCAAACAAUGAUGCUCUUCAAUUUCUUCAACCAAUUGAAACCAAAUAAUGAGAAGGUGGAGAGGAAGACUCUAAAAAAUCGCCAGGAAUUUGAUCAUAAUCUUGACAAGUUGCUGGAAUUUGUUUGGUCCUUCGUUUCGUUGACACAAAGUUUAAAAAUAAAAAGAAAAUGUUUGAAUUUGUUGAUCUAAAAAAAUAUGUCGAAUGUAUUAAAAUGCCCUUUAAUCUUUGUUGUUUUAAACAUGUCACAUGGAAAAUUUUAAUUAAGGAUUUGUUGGAAAGGGUAAUUUUUUAAUAGACUAAAACAAAAAGUAGGUCAAACAAAUUAAAAUCGAGGAAAUAUAAAAUUUUGAUGGAUUGUUAUAAUUUGUUGUGUAAAAAUUUAACCAAUACAUUUUUUGUUUCAAAAUCGGUCCGAAUCAACUUCUAAUUACUCCAAAUUUGAUAUACAACCUUCUCAUAUAAAUCACAACAAAUUUUCAAUUAUUAGAUUCUUUGUAAACCUUCAAAAAUAAAUAGAUACCGUUGAUCUUCCACAAUUUUUCUUAAGCUCAAUAAGAUCCAACAAUUUUUUCAACCAAAUGAAACCAAAUCAUUAAGGAUAACAAUAUAAAUUCAAUGGAACAUUACAUAUAUAAUUCCAAUCACAAAUUAAUAAGCAACGAGAAGGAGAAGAAGAGAAAUAGGAGUUUCCUUGCAUUUCAUGAAGUUUGGGUGAGUUAUUUUGAUUCAAUUAAUUUAGUCUUUCUAAAAGUUGGAAUUAUUCGAGUUAAAUAUAUAAUCUAGAUUGACUUAUAAAUUUUUCCGUACCGAACACACCCUUUGUCUCUUAUUUUUCUUUUAAUUUGACUAUAAACUUAUAUUUUAUAUUUAAAUAUAAUUAAAUUUUAAAAUUUUCAUAUAUCUAUAAUGAGAUAAUUUAUAAUCACAUAAUUAUCUAAAUUUAUUAUUUCUGCACCAUAAAUUUAAAAAAUAUUACUCAAUUUUUUUUAUGUGUAAUCAACUACGAUAUAAAUUAUGACGAAAGGGGUAGCUUUUUAAACUCAAGCAUUUAUGGACCACAAUAUGCAAUGGUCGCCUAACAACAACACCUAUCUGAAUUAAGAUGUCUACAUAUUUAUUUAUUUGUAUUGUUAAGCAAUGACUCUUAGUUUUGAUGUUUUAGAUAGAAAAAUUGUAAACAUUUUGAAUUGGAUGUGAAUUAUUAAUUUCAUACUCAAAUUAUUGAUAGCCUUAAAAAUAUUCAUCUACUUAACUAACUGAACCUAAAAACACCCUUUCAUCCUAUAAACAUACAUGUACGCGUACGUACAUUGGAGCCUCGAUUAAAUCUGGAUCGCCCACCGUAGGGCCAUUUGGGGAUAGCGCUCCCAACAAAAAUUUCUCCAUAUCCAGAGCUCGAACCCAAGAUCUCUGAUUAAGGGUGAAACAGUCUCACCACUGUACCACAACCCAUGUUGGUGGUAGGUUGGGUGAAUUAAUGAGCCCUUAUGUUAAUUUAGUUUAUUUUGAUCUAUUUUAUUUAAAAUUUAGCAAGGAUCGAACAAAUUACCUUUCUAAAUUAUGCAAAAAUUAAUACAAAAAAAUCAAUCACUAUGUUUCUAUUUUUAAAAUAAAAUAAAAUUAUACCACUAAACAAAGUGUCUAUCAAUUUUUUAUUAAAAUAAAAAACUUCAAUAGACAAGUAUUGCCUUUGCCCUUAAUUUGCUAUUAUAAUAUUGUUACCGGAGAAGAUGCAGAUAAGAAAAUUUAUUCCGGCGACCUUAGAGCCCUUACAAAAAGUAGCCAUUGUUUUUAGGGAAAAUUGUAUAUAAUAGCAAACUAUUAAUUCAAAUUAAAUGCUAUAAAUAUACUUUGAUUUAAUUGUACCCUAUAGCAAAUUAUUGCUAUUUUCGCCACUCUCCCUGGUGGAAUCUCGCUCGCCACUCUCGUUUGGCAGUAGUCUUGCUCGCCUCUUUCGCUUUUAUACAAAUACAAAUAUAUAAAAUGUGUUUGUGUUUUAUAAAGCGAGAGAAAAUUGUAUAUAUACAUAUAUUUUUGUUCCCCUCUCUCAGAUCUCGCUUGCCACUCUCCCAAAUCUCGCUCGCCACCCUCGCCUCUCUCGCUUAUACAAACAGAAACGAAAUGUAUAAAUUGCGCUUCUAUUUAUAUAAAGCGAGAGAAAAUUGUAUAUACACAUGCAAUUACAUAUAUCUUCGUCCUAUACACUUAUAAUUAUACAAUACAAAUAUUUCCCUGCCCAGUUUUCUUUUGCCUUUUUCUCUUUCUCGUUUUAUACAUACACAGAUUAUACAAUUGAUCUUUUGUAUACAACUGCUUUCUUUUGUAUAUGUAUAGCGAAUUAUACAACUGCCUUCUUUGUAUAUGUAUAACAAAUUAUACAACUGUUUUUUUGUAUAUGUAUAGCGAAUUAUACAUUUAUAUGUUUGCUAUGGAGCGAAAUUAUGCAAACUUUGCUAUAACAUACAAAUAUGAAUUUUAUGUUUCCUACGUGAAAGUUGCUCUUGUUUUUAUGGAUAAAUCUAUCUCUAUUUUGCUUGCUAUUAAUGAUUAGUCUAUCUCCAAUUUAUACAGCUGCUAAGGGCAUUUUUGACAAACAAAAAAUAGCUACCGACCGCCACCUUUUAGGUUAGUGACAUUAUUUCAUUUAUAAAUUAUAAUGAUUUAAAGAAAAUAAGUACUCUAGUAUAAAGCAUGUAUUUGGCUUAAUUAAUUCUCUUAAAAUUAUCCCCUUAAUUUAUCUAGACAUUUAAAUUCAGACUUGUACCUAUUGAACACUUCUAUUCUUUUAAAUUUGAGCCAUUCUAACAUUUUUUUAACAAUCAACUAAAAAUAUAAGAAAGAGUGAAAUGUACUAGCGGUGACAUGACAAUUUGACAAAUUAAAUAAGUAAAAUUUACAUAAAUCUCAUAGUGUUAAGAACUAAUUAUAUCAUAUCUCUACUCUUUUUCAAAUUACAAAAAUCAUUUAAAUUUAUAGGAUCUUGGAUAUAUUUGAAAAUAUGUAAAUACAUAGUUCAUGGAUUGCGAAUGAUACAUUACUUAAUGGAAGGGAUGUAUUCGAAGGGGAGGGAUGUAUUCGAGAGGGGAUAGGAUGUAUAUGAGAGGGGAUUGAUAUUAGUAAAAAAGUUGAAAAAUUUACAUUGUCAAUUUAAUUUUUGUAGUUAGUACUAGAUAUUAGCCAUGACUAGCUUUUAAAUUCAUAGCUAAAAUUUCCUAAUUUAAUGUCUGAUUUAAAAGUAAAAAUUUAAAAUAAGCCAAUUCAAACAAAAUCUGUACUUACCAAAAAAAAAAAAAUCCAAGCAUUCCAUUCUAGGCGAUAAGAAAAAGGGAACAAGAACACUAUGUCUGCGACUGAUCAACAACAAUUCAGUAAGCCACACGUCCAAACACUAAAGGCAUACUCAAAAACAUAGGAAAAAGUACUUAUAGAGGUUUCUAACAUUAUUCAAUUUGGAGGGCUUGUUUAUGGAUUCUAUUGUGAUUAUUCUACUGUGUUGUAUUAGUCUCCUUGGAUGUUCAUUUUGCUAGAAUAAUCUGAAAGCCACUCGCCUUAAUAUAUUAACAACCACACGCCUUCGCCUUUGUGUAAUAGCCAGACACCUUAAUGUAAGCCAGAGAUCACAAACACAAAACGAUACAUUUAUGAAUCUCAAAUCACUUGGAAAUCACAUGUAAUACCUAAAUAUUGAUUAGUUCUUCAAGUGUAUUUUCUGUUUUUUCUUCCGGUUAAUGUGUAAAUGUAAUGAACAUAACGAAAAAUAAACUAUAGGGUUAAAUUAUCAACGACAAUGGGUAAUAAAACACGAUAGAAACAGAGGAGUGGAGGGGAGCGACGAACCAACCUGAAAGUUUCUUUGUUCUUGGACGUAGUUGCUGCGAUUCAAUUAUAGAUGCUGGAACCACACGCCUUAAUAUAACCUUAAUAUAUAUUAACAGAGGAAUCGAUAAUCAAUUACAUUCAAAAUAGUAGCAGCCAGAGAUCACAAACAUAAAAAUGAUACUUUUAGGAAUCUCAAAUAACUUGGAAAUCACAGAUAAUACCUAAAUAUUGAUCAGUUUAUCAAGUGUAUUUUUUGUUUUUCUUCCAAUUAAUGCAUAAAUAUAAUGAACAUAAUGGAAAAUAGGUUAAGUUCUCAACGACAGAGCAACAGGGGUAAUAAAACAUGAUAGAAAUAGAGGAGUGGAAGAGCGACGAACCAACCUGAAAGUUUCGUUGUUCUUGGAUGUAGUUACUGCGAUUGAAUUAUAGCUGCUGGAAGUAGUUCUUCGAUUCAAUAUAUGUUGCUGGAAGGUCUCUGCUGCUAACGAAUGAAUAUAUGUUGCUUGACGUUGCAGCUCUAAUCGAUUUAGGAUGAUGAAUCCUAAUGUGUGUGGAAGAUCUUUUUAGGAAUACUUUCCUUAUUAGAAGCAUAUAGAGGGUUUUUUUGUUACUAAUGUUUUCCUUAUUGACCAGGAGUUCUUUUUUUCCAGAAAUAAGAGAAUCGCGGGAAAAAAUAUUAAAGGGAAAGCAGGAGUUCUAAUUUUCAGAAAAAGAAGAAGAAGAAGGCUUUUAGUGACUAUUUUUAGAAUUGCUUCUAAAAGUGUACAUAUUGCAUUAAACAUUAGCCGUUAAUAUUUUGCCUCACAUGAAUAUAUUAGCGGCAAUUUGCUUAUUGCCGCAAACCAAUUGUCGCUAAAGUUCAUUUUUGUAGUAGUGUAUUUUUCAACACAUUGAGUUGCUAUCUACAGUUUUACAGCUUUCCAUAUAUUGCAUCUUUUAUUGUUGCUUUAUUCUUGAGUAUCUUGAGUUGAACUGUGCUUCAUCGAGUCGAGUACAUUAUUGUUGAGUUGAGCCUUAUUUCACUGAGUUGAAUAUCUUAUCCCUUGAGUUGAGUAUCAUAUUCUUGAGUUGAGUCGAGUAAGUGAGUUGAGAAGAGGGAAGUAUGUUUCAUUUUUAUUAAGUUCAAGCUUGUGUUUAUGCUUUAGAAUUUCCCUUACAUGCUCGUACAUUUCACGUACUAAGCCAUUUGGCCUGCAUCCUUUCAUGAUGCAGACACAUUUAUAUUCAGGGUCAUCAACAGUGUCACAACCCGAGCCUACACCCUGGACGUGGCCGGCACUCGAGAACCAUUGCUGGUCCCCAAACAAACUCUCAUCCUGGCUGACUACAAGCGAAAAACUGAUUCAAGCAUACAAAGCUUAAAAACUGAAUAAAAUCAAUAACUCAAAUACAAAGCUUUAACUCAAAAUAAAACUCUGAAUAAAAAUAAGAUAUUCAACUCGCCAAAAAAUAGGCAACUUAAGUCUUUAAAAUAUUUAAUAAAAUAAAUGAAUAAUACAGACUUCUCAACUAUACUGACUAUCUAUGAAGCCUCUAACUGAUAAAAAUGGAAGUCGGGACAAGACCCACGACAUCCUGACUAAACUGAAAAGUAAAUGAAAUUCUCCGAAAACAAUGAGGCUCACCAUAGAUAACUCGAACUCCUGGAUGUAUCAACGAAUCUUCUGUUGAUGAUCCUGAAUACCUGUGUCUGCAUCAUGAGAAGAUGCAGGCCAAAUGGCUCAGUAUGUGGAAUGUACGAGCAUGUAAGGGGUAUUCUAAAACAUAAACAUAAGCUUGAAACUUGAUAAAAAGGAAACAUACUUACCUCUUCUCAAACUUACUCAACUCAAGGUAUACUCAAGGAUACUCAAAACUACUCAACUUACUCAAUUCAUAAGUAUUCAAGGAUAAGAUACUCAACUCAGAGAUUAGAUACUCAACUCAAAGAUAUGAUAUUUGACUCAGGUACUCAACUCAAUAUAAAACAACAAUACACAUGCAAUAUAUGGAAAACUUUAUAAAAACAGUAAAACAACUUAGUUCGUUAAAGAAAAUGCAAUAACAAACUCAAUUUUACUUAUAUAAUAAAGAAAUAUAGUUUAUGUGGGAGUUUCUCUAACUGACAACUAUCACUUUAAGAGCUAUAGUGAUGAUACAACACUUUUACCUCACGCUGCCAAGGACCAUUCUAUACCUUGCCAUCAGUAUAGGGACCUAACUUAACUUAGUGGAUCCACUAGUCUAUGCGAAAAGGAUUCAUCUAAAAAGUAUUACCCUUUUCUACCUAUGAUGGCUACAUGGUUUUCAUCAAGACUUGAGUUAAUAGGAAACUCGCAUCCCCAUAUCGGUGCUCAAUACUACUCUCACAAUAUAACUAGCUCAUAUGUUUAGAAACAUAACUCUUUCUGUGUUUUGAGAUUAUUACUCAAANNNNNNNNNNNNNNNNNNNNNNNNNNNNNNNNNNNNNNNNNNNNNNNNNNNNNNNNNNNNNNNNNNNNNNNNNNNNNNNNNNNNNNNNNNNNNNNNNNNNNNNNNNNNNNNNNNNNNNNNNNNNNNNNNNNNNNNNNNNNNNNNNNNNNNNNNNNNNNNNNNNNNNNNNNNNNNNNNNNNNNNNNNNNNNNNNNNNNNNNNNNNNNNNNNNNNNNNNNNNNNNNNNNNNNNNNNNNNNNNNNNNNNNNNNNNNNNNNNNNNNNNNNNNNNNNNNNNNNNNNNNNNNNNNNNNNNNNNNNNNNNNNNNNNNNNNNNNNNNNNNNNNNNNNNNNNNNNNNNNNNNNNNNNNNNNNNNNNNNNNNNNNNNNNNNNNNNNNNNNNNNNNNNNNNNNNNNNNNNNNNNNNNNNNNNNNNNNNNNNNNNNNNNNNNNNNNNNNNNNNNNNNNNNNNNNNNNNNNNNNNNNNNNNNNNNNNNNNNNNNNNNNNNNNNNNNNNNNNNNNNNNNNNNNNNNNNNNNNNNNNNNNNNNNUUCAUGGGUAAUAGGUAAUAGUCCCAUGAUUAGGAUUAUAAUCUCGGAAGGGUUAGAAACUCAAUACUUAAGACUUAGGACAUGGGGACAUUAAUCCUCUCAUAGAUACUAAACUUAUGGAGUUCAUGCGGAAUUUAUGGGCAUGAACGACUUGACUCGUAGGUCUACANNNNNNNNNNNNNNNNNNNGUAUACAACUCUUCUCAUUCUCAUACUUACUUUCUCAAAAUUUAGUUCAAAUCAAUAGUUGAUCUCAAAUGGUUCACAACCGAACUCAAAGGCUUUCUUGAACUCUACUCUUAACUCGAUCUCUUAAAUGUGAAUUAUGAAUUCAAGAGUUAUGGUUCAUGCUAUGAAAGAUUUCAUGAUGACAAAGUAUACUCAUGAAUACAUUCUCCUCACUCUCAUGCUCACUUACUCGAAUCUUGAAACAAGUUACUAGAAGUUGUAGAAGACUCCACAAAAGGACUCAAAGGGACUUUCUUAGAAUGUUUUAAAAAAAUCUCAAAACUUAACUCUUAGCUCUACCUUGAAUUUGAAUUAUGAAUUCAAGGUUAUGAUCAUGUUAUGAAUGAUUUCUAGGUGUGUAGAAGUAGUUUAAAGUGUUUAGAAUCAAAGGGGAGUAAAGGUACCCUUUGAAAUAACUCAAACGGACGAAACGAUGGACAACGGGUGGGGGCAGGCGACCCUGGUGCUCUGAGUGGCGUGGGGUGCCAGCCCCUAAAGUUCAGAGAGGUGGUUGGGGCGCUCUGCUUGGCGUGACACGCCAGGCCCCAACCCAUAAAACUUUGACGACUUUCCAUGCUCGUUUUCUCACCCUAACUCGCCUAAAAUUGAACGAUUUCCUCCCCAAACACUUGGAUUUGAUUACUUAACAUUAUUACACUCUCAUAUACUCAAAAAAACACUCAAAUUACUAAAUUUCAUCUGAAGAAAUCAUCAAAACCCCAACACAACAAUAUUUAGAAUGAACUUUAAGAACACUUAUCAAGAACUCAUCAAAAACUCUAAUCUGUCAACUUUAAGAAUGAAAUUUGCGCUGAAAAUAACAUGAUUGGCAUGUGGGUGAACUAACCCAACACUAUGGAAGCUUACAUACCUCUUAGGGAUCAAACCCAUGGCGAAAAUCCGCUACAACACGCAAGAAUCUCGACGAACGCUUGAUCCUCUCCUCUUUUCUCCUCUUCUCUCUUCUUUUCUCUUCUUGAACUCUCAACUAAAAUCCUAGGCUAAUUUUAGGAUUAUAAAACUGAACCUAAUAGGAUUAGACCCUUAAAAUAUUACUAAAAAUGAAUUAAAUCAGAGUUGGUAAGGAAAAGACCAAAAUACCCUUCUCUAUUUUCGGCUAACUUUCCUUAACUAAAUAGCCUAUCUUCAAAAGGUCAUAUCUCACUCAUCCGACCUCAAAACUUAGCAAACUCGGCUGUGUUGGAAAGAUAAUUCAAAGAUCUUUCCUACGGUAUCUAGUUGAACACAUAAAUCAUCCUGAGAUAGGAGUUAUGAUCGUUUGAAGUCGACCCAAAACUCAUACUUAGCUUAACUUGCAAAAUUUCAGAUUUUUCUAUUUCCAAUUUAAUUCUUUUUGGAACUCAAGGUGCUACAUCUAGUGACCUUAACACUUAAGAAAUUUUAAUUCCUCGGUAAAAUCCUACUCACAACGAAGGAUGGUUUCAAGUCUCAGUUCGAAAAAAAUUCUGGGGUAUUACAAUAUCUCCCCCUUGGGAUCAUUCGUCCUCGAAUAACGACUGGACUGUGUAUGGAAUGGGUUACUCUUACUAAGGUCUGCGUCUAAUGCUAGGCAUUUGCAUUUGGUUUAAUUGAUAUGAGCCGACUGUUAGCUUAGGAAUUUCCCUCCAGUCAUGAUACAUAUGAGCUUCGUUAGAAUUAACGUGUUUAGCUAAUGCAUCUGCAAUUUGAUUAACUUCUCUAUGACAAUGAUUUACUUCAAAAUUCAUCUUCGCAACAACUUGUAAGAUGUCUUCCACAACACCUUUGAUCUUCAAUUGACGCUUGUCCAUUCCUUACCAUAUCAACCACCAUUUUUUAGUCUAAUUCAAGAUAGCAAUCGUGAAAUCCUUGUUGUGGAUGAUGAUAUCUAAAUAUAGAUACCCUUAAUUACAUCAAGCACGUUGCCAUAAAAUAAACAUAAAGUAAGUAUUGUACACCAAAUAAAAAAAUAUUCAGCGCAAGUAGAAUCCAAAAUGGCUUAUUUUGGCUUGACACGGAGUUUAAAAAAAUAUUUGAAUCAUGUGAUCUAAAAAAAAGAUAUGUCGAAUCAUGAAUGUAUCAAAAUGACCUUUUAAUUUUGUGGUCUUAAAAUGUCAUGUAGAAAGUUGAAAUUAAAGAAUUGCUAAAAAGGAAAAAGGUCAUGUUUAUUUUAAAUGAAUUAAAAAAGAAAAUAGCUCAAAUAAAUUGAAACAUAGAGAAUAUAAAAUUUUGACGGAUUGUUGUAAUUUGUUGUGUAAAAAUUUAACCAAUACGUUUUUUGUUUCCAAGUUGGUCCAAAAUCCAAAUCAACUUCGAAUUGCUCCGAAAUUUGAUAUGCAACCUUCUCAUAUAAAUCACAACAACUCUUCAAUUAUUAGAUUCAAUCUAAAUCUUCAAAAAUACAUAAAUGUCUUCAAUAUUCAACAAAACAAAUUGUUAGAGUUAUCUUAUCAAUAAUAUAAUUCAUUACUAUUUAGUAUCUAAACUCUUAGCUCGUCUCAUCCCAAUAUUACUUUGGGCAGAUCAUUUUCCUACUCGAUCAUCUAAACUCCUAGGUUUUUUUCCCUUAUAUAUAUGAUGAUGCGAUCUCCUUUUGUAUUACUAUUAAUUUUGUAACAAGUAACUAUAUCGAGACGAUUGGUUAACAACAAAAACAAAAGUAACCCAAACUUAAAAAGAAACCACAAACUGAAGAAAUUUAUGUAUUUUUGAAUGAAGAAGGUAAGGUAAGGUAAUAGGCUAAUUGCUAGCUUGUUUAUUUAUUGAUAAGCAUACAUUAAUUUACAUGGAGCGAUAGAAGGAUAUAUCCACUUUAUUUAGAAAGCUGCAAGCUAGCCAGCUAAUUAGCAUUCUACGCCUUGAUGAACACAAAUGGAAUAAAGUCCUUAUCGUCAUCGACAGUCACCAGACGAGGAUAUCCAUUUUUAAAGUUGCCGCCGAUAUUUUUGCACUGAAGAUGAGAGGGACAAUGCAGUAACUUGUAUACAUUUUUGGAACUUCCUGGUGUCACCAAGUCAAUUUUCCUAAUCUUGAAGAUGUCGUUUUCAUUUCCUACCUUACCACCAGUUACCACCAACUGUUCAUCAUCAACUUUCCAAACAGUUUGGUCAACACACAACUUUGUUGUUUUAACAAAGAACUUGAUAUAAACAGCAGUCAUUUGACGCACCACAUCACCAUAAUCCGACUCCGACUUACGAACGAAUACGACGGGCGUGCCUUUUCCCAAAAAUUGGGGAAUUGACAUGUGCUGCAACACGGCGUUUGGGCAUUGAAGGUUUCCAAUAUUGUACAAGUAUACGGCUCCGGCCCCGAUGAGAGGAUUGUUAAUAAUGUACCUCUCGCCAAUCCUCAGCGGAUCGCCGUCUUGGUCAUAAACUUCAGGGAGUACAAGAUUAUCAUCAUCAUGACAAGUUGUGGGGAGGACAAUUGGAUUCUCAGAAGUGAAAGAUCGAGCAAAGGCAACCAAAGAGAGGGUACUUGAAAGCAAGAGGAAACUCAAAAUAUUAAUCGACUUCAUCUUUCUUUGUGUGUUUUGCCUGCUAUGAGUCUAUGUCCAAUUUAUAGACCUGCUAAGGGCAUUUUUGACAAACAAAAAAUGAAUACCUACUACCGCCUUAGACACCUCAAAUAAGUUUUAUUCAUUUUAAAUAACUAAUAUUAAGUCACUCUUAACACUUUUCUUUUUUUACUAUCAACAAAAAUAUAUAGUACAUAAUAUGUGUUACACAGAAUAAUAUGUAAAGUAUCAAAUUAAAUAAAGACAUUUCUUAUUUGUCUCCAAAAUAAAUCUUAAAUAAUAAAUUUUUAGUAAAAAUAAAAAAUGGCCAAUAAUUCAAUUUGUAGGAUAUUUAUUAUUUAAUUUGGCUUCAACUAGAGUAGUCGGUAAAAUUAAUAAAUAUUACUUGAGAAUAUUGUCCAUUGUGCUUAAAGGACUCUUGAAACUUGACAUCCAGUGGAGAACCAUUCAUGGGAUUAUUGCACUAAUAAAAUUAAGUUGCAACACCUAAUUUUACUUACCAGACUCAUGUACAUAAUUAUUAAGGAUAAAAAAUUUUAUCCGUAUAUAAUGUAUAUACUAACCUAAUAUAUAAAUGACAUGUGUUUGAAUUUAUGGUUCAUUUUACAUAAUUUUAAUUAAAUAACAUUUGUUUUGCUUCAUUUUAAUAAUUUAUAUUCACCACUGAAUACAAAUAACAGGCUAACAAUUCCAAAAAUUGAUAUUAAUAUGCUAGCUGGCAUGGAAUUAUUCCACAAGUAAAAUAUAUCACUGAAGUACGAUUGAGAUUUAUACCACUGAUUAUUUUGUUACCUAUCACGAAUGGAUCUUAAAAAUAAUGGCAAAUCAUUAUUAUGCAAGAUGAUUUUUUUUUUAAUUAUUUUUUUGACAAAUUAAUAAUUGAAGGAUAGGGUUUGCGUUAUCUGAUACAUAGAACUUAGUUUUGAAUUUGAGUAAAUUGAGUGUUGAAACUCAAGAAUAAUUAGGCAAAAUAAAAAUUGCACUUCAAAUACAUAUAACUGAAGUUUUAGUCAUUUUUUAUACACUUCAAUCAUAGGUACAUUCAAUAAAAUUAAAAUAAUGUUAAAUGAGUUUGUUAAAUGUAUUGUUAUUUUGAUAAAUUGAUGAUUCAAGUUUGUUUCAUACGAUUGUAGAUCUGAUCUUCGACUAAAUUCGGAUCGGACUUUGCAGGGCCCAUUCGAAAGGGACACUCCCAACAGGAUUUUUUCCAUACCCAGGGCUCGAACCCGAGACCUCUGGUUAAGGGUGAAGCACUCCCACCAGUGCACCACAACCCAUGUUGGUCCUAAAGUCAUUAUUAUUAAUUAGGUAGGUAUGUUCAAAAUAAUUCUUUAAAAGUGAUCAUAUCCGAUCUUAAUCAAAUACAACUCUAACUCCAAUUUUUAAAUUUUUAAAUAAUACUCCCUCCGUCCCCUUUUAGUUGUUAUGCUGCACUUUUCAAAAAAUCAUUUUUGAAUUAUUUUUCAAUUUUAAUUAGAUUACAUUAAAGAUAUUUUAAAUUAAAAAUUUAGAUAUAUAUUUAAAAGCUAUACGAAAAGUACUAUAAAUUGUAAUUUUUUGCAUAUCAAUAUGAUGAAAAAAUACAUCGUAAAAUAUUAGUCAAAGUUCUUAUUGUUUAACUCUAAAAGAAAGUCAUACAACUAAAAAAAAAUGAAGUGAAUAUAAAUAUAUUUAAUUUUCAUGAUCAAACGCAUACUAAAAUAUAUUAAUCAAGUUGCCAAUCGCCAUAAUGAUGAAAGGAAACAGGUGAAUGCAGCUCAUAUCACUGAAAAUAAAGCACUUUAUACUUCAUCUUUUCAGCACUACCAGCGUAUAAAAAAAAUGAAAAUGUGUAGUUUUCAAGUUUAAUACUAAGAGCCGUAGAGAGUUUAUUUUCGAUAAACUUGAGGGGGAAAAGCAAAAUUAAGGCAUUAACAAAUGAAUAAAGAUGAACUUAUAUGCUUUGAUUAUAAAAGUAGUCUAACAUUAUUUGUUUGUAAAAUUUGGAUGCAGUUAAACAUGGUUAUUAAAGAAUCACUUCGACUGUAUCCACCAGAUCCUAUCAUUGAACGAAUGGCUUGUGAAGAUAUGAUUUGUUAAACAUCUUAAUUUUUCAAUAAAAUAUUUUUUUUUUCAAAAUAAGUACUUUUGAUCUCAUAACAAUAAUGCGGCUUUUAACCAUGCCAGUUAUAGUUAUAUGGGUUGGGUUAUUUAUAGAAAAGUUAAAUGUACGGAACAAACCAAAUUCAAAUUAAACCUAUUAAUUAGCGAUUGAGACGUAAUUAGUUUUAAUAUGUACAUUGUGAAUUACACGUACUCAAUGGUCCCGUAAAUCUUAAUCGUAUUUUGGAUAAAAGCCACCUGGCUGCUUAGAGAUUUAAUAAUUUUGGAUGUAUUUGAUAUUUUCCCUCCGAAGACCUUAUCUUCAGUCUCACUUCUUGUAGUGUCUAUCUUCACCAUCCCACACUUUUUACUUUUAUUAUUGUGUGUUUUAAUAUAUUUAUCUAGAUUAUAUAUAAAUAUUUUUUAUUUACCUACUAUUAUUUAUCUACUAAACAAAUAAGAAUUUUAUUUUCUUGAGGAACAUCUUUCAAAAAGAAUAUUUUCUUUCGUAACGAAUAUAUCCUGAACAACCACAAAUGUUAAUAUCAACAUUUUGGUUUUAAUUGAGUUGAAAUGUUUAGAAAGAAAAACAAAGAAGAAAUGAAAACUAUUAGGCAUACAAAAGUACAAAAUAGUUAACCAAACAACAAUAAUUAAGAUACCAAAAAUGCAAAUAAUAUUCUAGUCAUGGUUUUGUGCUGAAAGUUUUUAGAUAACUUUUAUAUGUACUUCAGUCAUUUUGUCUUGGUUUUAAUAACCUUAGUUAAAAAUGUUUGAAGGUAAAAGUUCUGUAAAAUGCUUGAAAUUUUGCCUUUAUCUAAUUUACAACUUCAGUAAAAAUUGUCUGAAUUUUUUUUUAUGAUGACCUUCACAAAGGCACACCUUAGACAAAAAUGUUUAUAGGUCUAGGUUUUAAAUUGUAAAAUUUCUGCUCCAUAUUAGUUGUUUUAUCUUUUUAAAAAAUAAUUUAUCCAAAAAAAAACUUUCUAAAAAAACUUUACAAACUUAUUUACAGUUUUUAAAAAGAAUUAAUUAUUAUAAGGUUAAAAAGAGAAAAUAAUAAUUAAUUCUCUCCUGAUUUUAUAAAUUAACAAAUAAUUUAAGAAAAAUAAUUUUUAAAAAUAAUGAACGACUAAUAUUGAAUGAACACUAAUCAUCAAAGAAAUUAAAGAAUAAUUAAGUAGCCAAAUUUUCCGUUCUUAUCAUCAACUCUACUUGGAGUUGCACUGUUGCAGGCCAAUAAUGGAUAUAUAUUAUAUACUAAUGUGCCGAUGGGACCAUUAUUAGACCAUAGUUAAAACCGAUAAAGUGAUCCUAUUAAAAUAGUGAAGUAGAGAGGUGUUUUUAAAGUUAUCAAUAGUUCGAAAAUAAAAUUAAUAAUUCAUAUCAAAUUCAGAAGUGUUUUCAUUAUUUUUGUCUAUCAUCUAUUCUCGACUUUUAAAUUUGAGAGUUCAUAAACAAUAUAUGUCCUCUCAGUUUUUAAAUUCGUUCAACUUCACCAUUAUUAACAUUGUGAAAAUUAAUUCAAUGUCAAUUGUCCGUACUAUGGACAAACCCUAAAUUAUUGAAACAAAAGAUUAUACAAUAAAAUUAAUUUAGUACUAAAAAUAGCGUAAAGGGCUGAAACUAACGAACAUGGUUAAAUUAAAAUUGAGGAACAUCGUAUCUUUUUGGCCUAAAAGAUAUUUGAAUACUAUACUAAUAUAUAUCCACCAUUGAAGAUAAAUACCAACAGGCUAACAACCAAGUUAUUUUCAUUUUUGUCAUGCAAUCUUAGCUUGUUAAAGCCAAAAAUGAAUAUUAAUGUCUUGACGGGACCGCACGUGUUACUAUCCCAUAACUAAAAUGGAGUCCGAAACUAAAAGGGGAACAAUUUUUUUCGAAAAUCUCAAAAGGGCAAAUAAAUUAUUUAUGAAACCAAAAUGACAAUAAUUUGUAAUGACAUCUAAAUCAGGGUUUUCGCCGCAAGGCACAGAAAUCCAUGAGCGGUACAACAACUUUUAACCCUGUAAGGCUCAGCCGGCGUGAGCCUUACAAGGCGCAAGGCAGGCUAUUUUUUUUCAAAAAAAAAAGUUUUUAUGGUGUACGGUCCUUAAGGCUACACGUUUGCAAACUCGACCGCCCAUUUUUGUUUGUUAGAUAAAUAAAAAAAUCUGACUAUGUAGUUGAGAUGUUAAAUCAUCCAACUUUAAAUUUAUCUAAAAUGCAGUACCUUUUUUACAAAAUACAAUGUAUUUUAGUCGGUUAUUUUUUUUAAAAAAAAUUAUGCCUUUUGAGUUAUCAAAAUAGGAUUUCUAUUGACCGUAAGCUUAAUUUGAUAAUGCAAAAAAAUUUAAAAUAAAUAAAUUGUAUAUUGUAAGUAAUGCACAUUUCAACACACGUAUGACGCAUGCAUAUUAGGGGUGAAGCUAUAUAGUUCUUAUGACACUUGUUUAAGCUUGGUUUUCUAAAGAAUGUUUGGAUGUAUCGUUUGCUUAAAUAUAAUAUUUAUUUUGAUGAUUAGUUAAAUUUAAUUUAUAUCAUUAAAUUUAUGGAAAAGGGUUAAAAUUGCUCCUAAACUAUGUGAAAUAGAUCACUUAUACCCUCCAUUAUAUUUUGGGAUCAAAAAUAUCCCCGCCGUUAUCCUAGGAGACCACAAAUACCCUCAAGAGUUAAUACCCCAAAUUAUUAGUGAUGUGGCAAGCCACAUGGGACUAAUCCCUCCACCUAAGCAUUGCCAACUAAGAUUCACUACAAAAGAAUUUGACCUUUAGCGGCGACAAUAGUCGCCACAAAAGCCCAGAAAUCGUCACUAAAAGUUUUUAACAUUAAAUUCUAAUUUUGUGUUUUUUUCUUCAUUGUUUUUAAAAAACCAAAAAUGAUAUCGAUUAAGUAGGAGUUUUAAGACACUGUAUGUUUUAUUUUUAUGUCAUAUGUAAAUGUAUAAAAUGUACAAUGAUGCAUUAUAUAGUAGGAGAUUUGAAUCGAGAAGUAAUUUUGAUGAUUUUUCGUAAUAAUAUUGGAUAUUUUUAAUAUUGAUAUUUCAAAGUUAUUUAUUUUAGAAAAUUAGGUUGCAAUCAAAAAUUAAUUAUCAUAUUUUUUUGUUGAAAAAAUAGGUUUUACUAGCGAAUGGUUGUUGGAGCCUUAGUCGCCACUAAAAAUCACUAAUAACCUUUAGUGACAAUAUUUUGGGAUUUUGUGGCAACUUUGUCGCCACUAAAGGUCAAAUUCUUUUGUAGUGAAUCUUAGUUGGCAAUGCUUAGGUGGAGGGAUUAGUCCCAUGUGGCUUGCCACAUCACUAAUAAUUUGGGGUGUUAACUCUUGAGGGUAUUUGUGGUCUCCUAGGAUAACGGUGGGAAUAUUUUUGAUCCCAAAAUGUAAUGGAGGGUAUAAGUGGUCUAUUUCACAUAGUUUAUUUAGGGGCAAUUUUGAUCCUUUUCCGUUAAAUUUAUUAUUAGGUAAUAAUGUGAUUUUUCAUUUUGUGUAAUGGUUGAUUUAGUAUGAAUGUAUGGUCAUAAUAUUUUUUUUUGUUUUGUUUUACUUACUAUUUAAUAAUUGUAUUUUAUUGUUUUUUUAUAGUAAAUCUACUCCGUACUUUAUUUUUCUGGUGUGUUUAUCUUUUUAAUUUUUUUGACAUUAUGUAAUUAUCGAAAAAGAUACAAUUUAAUAUAACAUAAUAUAAUAUAUUAUAAAAUGACAUGUAACAACCAUCCAAACAAAGUAUAAAUAUAUAGUUUCAUCAAAAGUUAUGGUGAUAAAAUGGUAAAUUUCGUAGUGAGGUUUAGAUUCGAAUUAUAACAACGAAGUCACUUUCUAAUAAAUAAUAUUUUAUACCUUUAACAUGAGUUUUUUUUUAAAAAAAAUUGAACUCAGAUGCGGAAUCUCAAUACGAAUAUUGAGCCUAAAAAGUACUCUAUAAAAGAAGUUCAUAAAUAAAUAGUCCAUUUAAUGGCAAAUUUUUAUCCUUUUGUCAAUAAAAAAAAGUCCAUGAAUAAUCUUUUCCCAUAUUUGGUAUUGCAUUUUAGUUCUAAAUUAAACACCUUUUUACCUGAUUUGAUUACAAAUAUAUAAUAAAUUACUUGAAUCAUCAAAGAAAAAUUUGCACAUUAAUUAAUCAGAACCGACAUACUUAGGAAAGAUAUUAUUAGUCAUAGACUCAUAGGACAUGGAUCUUGUUCCAUAAUUACUAGUUAUAAUAACUACUGUAACAUUUAUAUAUUUAAUUAAGCCAAAUAAAUAUAAUCUUUUCCGAUUAUUUUUUAAAAAAAAAAUAGCCUUGCGCCUUGUAAGGCUCAUGGCGGUUGAGCCUUACAAGGCUAAAAGUUGUUGCGCCUUGUAAGGCUCAUGGGUUUCUGUGUCCUUGCGGCGGAAACUCUAAUUGAGACGCCGUUACAAAUUGUUACCCUUUUGAUUUCAUAAAUAAUUCAGUUGCCCUUUUGAAAUUUUUGAAAAUUUCUAUUGCCCUUUUGGUUCUGAAGCCCCCUCAUUUUGAAGUUUUGGUUUCUUAAAUCUUGUUAUCCUUGAAUUUUUCUAGCACUUAAAGUUUUGGUUUCUUAAUUUUUUUUAUUUCUUUCAAUGUAUUAAGUUUCUUUCUAUUUCAUUCUGAUUAAAUUAAAAAAAAACUUUAUUUUACUAUCUUUGUUGUGGUUAAAACUUAAAAAUAAUUAAAUGAAUUCACCUAUUUGAAACAUAAUGACAUGUUUUUCUCAUAUAUUAUUGGAAAAAAUAAUAAUUUUCUUACCGAAUAAAUUAAAUUAUUAUUAUUUUAAUCCAGUAACUUGAACUUAAUGAUGAUUGUGUUUUGAUUGUAUUUGCAUUAGUAAUGAAAUAACUUGGUGAUAUCGAAGAAACAGAGUGAUUGAUUGAAAACAUAUAUAAUAAAAAUAAUAUAUCCUCGGGGAUAUUGGAAAAUUGUUAUACAAAUAAAUUUCUACAACAACAAUAAACAAUGAAACUUCUAGUUCAAUUGAACAUACGAUAAAAUUAACUCCUUGUCAAAGCAACAUAUAAUACACAUUUGCAUUCAUUACAACAGUAUUUUUUGAGCUUUUUCUUUUUUCCAUCCUUAAACCUAAUUUAAGUCUACUGGGCAUGUCUAAUCAAAAUUAAUAUGCAAUUGAUUAAACAUAAAAGGAUCUUAUCCAUGAAAUCCACAUCACGUAAUCAAUAACAAUGCAUAUUACAACUUGGACUUAGUCGUAACUCCAAUACAAACUGAUCAAUAAUGAAUACUAAUGUCGUGACGGUACCGGAUGGGAUUAUCCAUAAGUAAUUAAUACGUAGCACUUAUUAAUUACUAAAACUUAUUUGUUUGAAAGCAGAAAUUAAUAAAUAAAGAACCUAGCUUUUUUAUUCAUCAUAAGCAUUAAUAUUACAUAGAAGCAUGCUCCACAUUAUUUUAGAAAGCGAUCGAGCUAGGUUAUAAUAAGCAUAGAUAAUUAACUAACUAUGCAUCAUUCUUGUUUACUUUGCUAAAGCCAAAGGGAUAAGGCUUGUUAUUGAGAGCCAGACGGGCGUAUCCCUUAUUUUCGUAUAGUCCGACAUCUGCACAAUCAAAUUGGCAUGUUGGACAAAUAUAUUUGACUAGGACAAUACCUUAACUUGUAAGAAUGAGGUCUCCCUGUCUCAUAUUUCUCAAUCUUGAACCAGUUCUCUAUGUUAUUAGGUCCUGGAAAUCCAAAGGUGCCACCAGUUAUAACAAACCUAAGUGGUGAAUGCGUCGGCCCUACGAUGGAAUAAGCAACUUUCCAAACAGUUUCGUUAAUACAUGACUUAGUUGAAGAAGAAGAAGUUGAGAACUUUAUACUAACAUCUUGGUUUUCAGAAACGAAAUGACUUCCAAGUUUCAUAGUAUAAAACAACACAGGUGUGUUGUUAUCAAAUUCACCAGAACUGUCCUGCACAACGCCAUUUGGGCAUUUGGUGUUUCCAAGAUUAGCUAAGUAUACGCUUCCACCGCCAAAGGGAAUACUUAUAAUGGAGUACUCCUCGUCUAUCUUGAGUGGUUCGCCGUCCAUGUCCAGCACGGGAGGGGAUACAACAUUCCCAUUAUUAUCAGAAAUGGAAAAUUCAUGAGAAAAGGCAACCAAACUUGAAACCAACAGGAAACUCAAAAUAUUACUAAUACACUUCUUCAUCUUUAAUUUGUUUGUGUGCUAUGACUCUAUCUCCAAUUUAUAGAGCUGCUAAGGGCAUUUUUGACAAACAAAAAUGACCUUUUAUUUUAGGUUAUAA